AGAGUUUGAUCCUGGCUCAGAAUCAACGCUGGCGGCGUGCCUAACACAUGCAAGUCGAGCGAGAGGAAGUAGCAAUACUUUAGUAAAGCGGCGCACGGGUGAGUAACACGUGGAUAACCUGCCUCGAAGUGGGGAAUAACCCCGGGAAACCGGAGCUAAUACCGCAUAAUCUGACGAGAUCUGUGGAUUUUGUCAGCAAAGGAGCAAUUCGCUUUGAGAGGGGUCCGCGGCUGAUUAGCUAGUUGGUGAGGUAAUGGCUCACCAAGGCCACGAUCAGUAGCCGGUCUGAGAGGACGGUCGGCCACACUGGAACUGAGACACGGUCCAGACUCCUACGGGAGGCAGCAGUGGGGAAUUUUUCGCAAUGGGGGCAACCCUGACAAAGCAACGCCGCGUGGGUGAUGAAGUAUUUCGGUACGUAAAACCCUUUCGACGGGGACGAAACCGCAAGGUUGACGGUACCCGUAGAAGAAGCCCCGGCUAACUCCGUGCCAGCAGCCGCGGUAAUACGGGGGGGGCAAGCGUUGUUCGGAAUUACUGGGCGUAAAGGGCGCGUAGGCGGUUUGCUAAGUUGGAUGUGAAAACUCUGGGCUUAACCCAGAGCCUGCAUCCAAAACUGGCAAACUUGAGUACUGGAGGGGAAAGCGGAAUUCCUGGUGUAGCGGUGAAAUGCGUAGAUAUCAGGAGGAACACCGGUGGCGAAGGCGGCUUUCUGGACAGUAACUGACGCUGAGGCGCGAAAGCUAGGGGAGCAAACAGGAUUAGAUACCCUAGUAGUCC
RNAcentral lists this ribosomal RNA (780 nucleotides) under uncultured bacterium. Its description in RNAcentral is "bacterial SSU rRNA". It matches the Rfam family "Bacterial small subunit ribosomal RNA", at positions 8 to 796 of the family's 1533-position model. The record is from RNAcentral.